UUUUAUUUUGUUUAUUUUCUUGCUUUUUGCAACCGCGGGACCGCGUUUCUGCGCUUCAGAUUGCGUUUUUCCGACUCCUUUGUUUGAUAUCGUGUCGUAUCGUCGUAUUUAUGUAGUUAUUAGGAACGGCAAGGCCUACGUUGUUGCGUCCUUUACCUGAAUAUCGUGACCGAAUCGAGUGUCGUCGAUUUGAAUCGUGUCUUGCGAACCAUCGUCGAACAAAAGGUGAUGGCUGGUCGUGGUUCAUCAGCGUUUGUUUUGAAACUGAUGGGUACCACAAGGCAUGAAGGAGGUGACUUGCAGCAGCAAGGCACUGCAAGCCUUCGCAGCAACUGGCUAGCCAGUGCUGCUCUGUUCUGAACUGCACUGCGUGUCAUGCGGAGGUUUUGUGCAAGCUCUCUGGGCGGUGACGCUAGCCACGGUUGGCUUCGUGGAUGCACAGAAAUACUCAAGGCGCUUGACGUCUGUGGCUCAUCUGUAUUGUUUUUCCCGGUACCACGGCAUGAAGGAGCUGGCCUCCCUCCCUUCCAUCAGCUGCGAGAUACUACAAGCAGUGGGCUACAGCUGCAGCUAGCCCAUGGGUACCGUUCUGCGUCCUGUACUGCAUCUAGUUCGAAAGGCCAUGUGAAAGGCAGGUACCGGGGACCAUGACAUCAGUGAGCUGGCUUUCACCUUGUCCAAGGCAGCAGCGGAACACUACGGGCGGGACCCUGGAUCACUGCACCAUGGAUGCCGUCCUGUACCCUGCACGGCACUGCGUGUGGCUUAAGUGGCCAAGCAGA
This 782-nucleotide long non-coding RNA is filed under the name Ixodes scapularis (black-legged tick). RNAcentral describes it as "uncharacterized LOC121837955, transcript variant X1". Lineage: Eukaryota; Metazoa; Arthropoda; Arachnida; Ixodida; Ixodidae. The record is from RNAcentral.